AAAAAGACAAACUCUAAAUUUCCGUGUCCAACGUUUGACUGUCCGUCUUACUUGAAAAAAUUAAAAAGACAAGUCACACAUAAAUUAUUAAUCAUGUUUUAUCAUCUAACAACAAUAAAAAUACCAAUUAUAAAAAAAUUCAUAUAAGACGGACAAUCAAACGUUGGAUACGAAAACCAGGGUUUGUCUUUUU
RNAcentral lists this microRNA precursor (193 nucleotides) under Oryza barthii. Its description in RNAcentral is "MIR812 microRNA precursor family". It matches the Rfam family "MIR812 microRNA precursor family". The record is from Rfam by way of RNAcentral. Lineage: Eukaryota; Viridiplantae; Streptophyta; Magnoliopsida; Poales; Poaceae.